UACGUAGGGGCUAGCGUUAUCCGGAAUUACUGGGCGUAAAGGGUGCGUAGGUGGUUUCUUAAGUCAGAGGUGAAAGGCUACGGCUCAACCGUAGUAAGCCUUUGAAACUGGGAAACUUGAGUGCAGGAGAGGAGAGUGGAAUUCCUAGUGUAGCGGUGAAAUUCGUAGAUAUCGGGAGGAACACCAGUGGCGAAGGAGGUUUCCUGGCCUGAUACUGACGCUGAGGCGCGAAAGUGUGGGGAGCAAACAGGAUUAGAUACCCCUGUAGUCCCUGAGCGGGCUGG
Molecule: ribosomal RNA, 284 nt
Filed under: uncultured prokaryote
Description: partial 16S ribosomal RNA
Rfam family: Bacterial small subunit ribosomal RNA
Source: RNAcentral